This 210-nucleotide RNase P RNA is filed under the name Oscillospiraceae bacterium. Its description in RNAcentral is "partial RNase P RNA component class A". It matches the Rfam family "Bacterial RNase P class A", at positions 1 to 213 of the family's 367-position model. From Rfam's summary of the family: Ribonuclease P (RNase P) is a ubiquitous endoribonuclease, found in archaea, bacteria and eukarya as well as chloroplasts and mitochondria. Its best characterised activity is the generation of mature 5'-ends of tRNAs by cleaving the 5'-leader elements of precursor-tRNAs. Cellular RNase Ps are ribonucleoproteins. The record is from RNAcentral. Lineage: Bacteria; Bacillati; Bacillota; Clostridia; Eubacteriales; Oscillospiraceae.
CGAGUAAGCUAUGCGGUUGAACACGGACGCGUAUUGCGCGUCUGCGUUAGGAAAGUCCGGGCAUCACAGAGCAGGGCAGCUGCUAACGGCAGCCGAGGGCGACCUUAGGGAAAGUGCAACAGAGAUAUACCGCCGGUUUUUUCCGGCAAGGGUGGAAAGGCGAGGUAAGAGCUCACCGGAGCGCGGGAGACCGCGCUGCCAUGUAAACCC